CAUCUUCUCAGAAGCAUCACCCAGAGCAAAAGGAAGCCUAAAACAAGAGACAUAGUUUUCAGUUGGGGGCCAAUGGAAACAACUCUAAACAAAUGGGAUGAAAUUGGCCAGCUUGGCAGUUUGUGCCCUCCUGUGUAAGAAUUCUACUGCAGGCAAGCAAUUAUUUGCUGAACAAAUGCCCAACCUCCAAUGUGUCCUUGACCAAAACCCCUACCACCUCCAACACCCCAUCUGCUGUAUCCACCUUCACAUUCUCCUCCAAGGAGUCAGAGCAUUCCAGGAUACCAACUGAGAGCAGCCAGAAGAUUCAUGUCUAUGGCAAGCUUUCAUUCUUGAAAAAAUAAGGGAUUCAGUCCUUCAGUAACCUGCCCUGUGGUCCAGGAAGUCAUCUAGACCAUCUCUUGCAGGUGAGGACAACUGAGGCCCUCUGCUGGGAUCAGUUUUAAAGCACAGGAUGGCCUGACAGCACUCUUGCAGCAAAAAGCUAAAGUGUACUCACCUCGAUUUUUCUCAUCACUAGAAGUCCAUCAAUUAUUUUUCCUGUGGAAAGAAUCAGAGCUAAAUGAUAUUGUUUCUUGCGUGGUCUCUGCAUGUCUCUCCCCCCAUUGUAUAGCUGGCUCCAGAGAAGCCCAGUGGCUCCAUGGCAGAGGGCCAUAUCCAGAAUGGAGCAAAUUCUGCAUUUCAGACCCCUUCAGGACCUGAAGGAGGAGACAGCCCAUCAAUUGAACAGGUGGCAAAGGAAAGCUCCAGAAUAGCCCCACCCCUGAAAGCCCAAGUUGGCAGAAAGUUGGGUGUGGAACCUGGACUCACCAAAAACCACAUGUUUCCCAUCCAGCCAAUCACAUUUGGAGCAGGUAAUAAAGAACUGGCAGCCAUUGGUACUGGGGCCACUGUUUGCCUGAUUUAAAUGAAGGAAAGCUGAAGUGAGAAGAAAAAAACAGGGCUGCCUCUGUCCUAAAGGGAGAGCUGGGCACCUGUGGACCAGCCAAAGAAAGGAGCUCUCCAAUAACUAAGCCCCAAAACUCACACUGUGAACUCAAGAGGCCACAAGUCCAUGCCUUGUGUUUGUACUCUGCUAAUAUGGAGGCCACUAGAUAGAUGCUCCCUCAACUCCCUUCUCAUACUCCUCAGAACUUUCUAGUUUCAUCACCUAUUCUCUCAUCUCACUGUAAGAAAUAUGCCCACUCCUGGCUCUGGGCAAUACCUAGGUCCAUGGUCCUAUUUCUCAUCUCCCCAGGACAUUCCUCUAGCAAUCCUUACCUUUCCAGUGAUUCCUUACCACUAGCUGAUAAAAACACAAUCUCCUGAAUCCAAAGUUUUCUCGACCCUUUUUGUGGGUUUAGUUACCAACUACUCCAUUUUUUUCCUCCCUUUUACCACCAAACUUCUUGAAGAAGAAACUAUUCCCCCUUCUAUCCCCCCCCCCCCAACAUUCUCUCCUCAAUUCCUUGUGGCCUGGCCUCUUCUGUCAUAAAUAUGUCGAAAUGCUUUCUCAAAGAUCACCAGGGAUACCUUCAUCACCAAAUCCAAUAGUCGUUCAAUAGCUUUGUCAGUCAUCCUGACUCCUAAUCCACUCUGAUCCACUGAUUCAUUAAGGAUAUCCCUUCCUCCUUGGCUUUAAGAUACCACAUGCCUCCUUGGUUCAGUUUCUACUCUUAAAACUACUCCUCCUGCUUUUCUGCCUCCAUUUCCUUUGACUGGCAUCUUCAGGAGGGUGUUUCUUGAGAUUCUCGUCACCUCUUCUAAAUAGGUCCCAUUCUCUCCAUUUAUUUGUAUAACCAGCACCCUACUUUGGGACCCAUUAUCUCUAGCCUAGACUAUUCCAACAGCCUAUUAGGUAGCCUCCCUGCAUCAUGGGUUCCUCUACGGUAGCCUCUCCUCUACUCAGCUGCCAAAGCAAUAUGCUAAAAAGCUCGGGUCUGUCCUAGUCAUACACCUACUUGGUAAAUCUUAAUGGUUUCUUCAAAGAACAAAAUAUCAACUUCUGUUUGUUCUUGAAGUCCUUAACAACUUGGUUGAUUCUUACCUUUCCAGUCUUCUUAAACAUUCUUAAACAUCUUAAACAUAAACCCCUGCCCCCACCCAACACCCUCCAGAAUCCAGCAACACUGGUCUUCCAGUAAUUCCUCCCACAGGACCAUCUCUUUAUUCUGUAUCUUUGCACUGGCUGCCCCUCAUGCACAGAAUGCUCUCCUUCUUAACCUCUAGAAUCCCUGAUUUUCUUUAAAAUUUUUCUACAGGUGGCUUUUCCCAGUCUCUCCCAUGCUCCUAGUUUCCUAGCUAUUAAUGACUUUCCCUCUAAAGCCACUUCCUAUCUCUUCUGUGUCUUGUAUAUAGUGAUGCAUACAAGGCCUCUGGGCCAUUAGACUAUAAUGUCUCUGAAGGCAGGGGCUACCUUUGUGCUUCUUCUCUGUUCUGUAAAAUUCAAAUUGGUGUCCAAUACUUAAAGUAUUAUAUUUUUAUAAAGUCUAUUAUGUGACAAAAUAGAACCAUGUGAUUAAGUUUUUCUACCUGUUCAAAAAUCCCUGUUCCACCAAAGCCUCCACAGGAAGGAAAGAGACCUAGAGAUGGAACUACAACCAAUUUAUAUCCUGUCUACAUCAGCAUAUAACAACAGGAAGUGAGUAGGGUGCUGGGAAUCGUAGUUUUGCUAGGGAUCGUAGUUUUUAGGGUAACAGAUUCAAAUUAUAUAAUUCCCAAUGCUUAGCACAGUACAUACUUAAAAGAAUGUUUUCUGAUCGAUUGAUUUGGCCCUCUUCCCAUCUCUCUCUAUACUCUCCUUUGACAAAUCUCAUUCACUCUUCAGACUUUAGUAGAUGACUGAGUCUGGAUCAUCCACCAGCCUGGACUCUCUCCUGAGUUUCAGUUUCUAUAUCUAGCAGCAUAAAGGAUAUUUCUACAAGCAUGUCCUCAAUCAGCCCUUCAACCUCAAUAUAACCAAAACAGAAUUUGUCAUCUUUGUCUCUAAACUGACUUCCCUUUAUGAUUUUGCUGUUUGUGGCACUGCCAUUAACUUGGGCUCCUGUGGCUUCAAUUCUGGGAUUAUCCUUGAUCCUUUCCUCCUUCCCCACAUAGUCAAUCAAUAAGCAAAUCCUAUUGAUUCUAUCUCCCCAAUCUCUUUUCUGCCCCCUCCUCCAUUCCCAUUAACACUACUGUCAUAAUGGCUUUCACCACCACCACCUUUCUUAUAGUAAUUGCUUCCCACUGGGACUUCCUCCCUACCUCUCGUCUACCCUUCAUUCUGCUGUCAGACUUUCUGACUUACCUACUUUGGGUCACUUUGAUUAUGUCUCUAAUCAAAAUCACUUGUUAGUUCCCUAGGACAUAUGGUACCAAAUUUACACAGCCUAACCUGACUUUGAUGCCACUCUCCUGAGCUUAUGACAUACUCCUUCUCAUACUUUACACUCCAGCCCAACUGGACCCACUAUAUGUAUCCCACACUUUCCUGUUAUUCUAAACUUUUAGCCUAAAACUCCACCCUUUUCACUCUAGUGAUUAAGUUCUCAUUCAUCUUUUAAACCCUCAUCAAAUGUUACUUAGGAUUUGUUCCCUGAUUCUCAUCCCCUUAAUCUCAGAGGCAGCCAGCUUGUGAAGUGAAUGAAGUGCUGGACUUGAAGUCAAGAAGACUUGAAUUCGAAUACUGCCCCCAGAUGCUUAUUAUCUGUGUGACCCUGGGAAAGUCAUUUAACUUCUUUGCCUCAGUUUCUUCAUCUGUAAAAUAAGAGCACCUAUUUCACAGAAUAGUUGUCAUAAUUAAAUGAGAUGAUCCCCUUAAAAAAAAAAAA
Non-coding RNA from Monodelphis domestica (gray short-tailed opossum), 3788 nucleotides. Lineage: Eukaryota; Metazoa; Chordata; Mammalia; Didelphimorphia; Didelphidae. The record is from RefSeq and is a predicted model, not a curated record.